RNAcentral lists this ribosomal RNA (480 nucleotides) under uncultured bacterium. RNAcentral describes it as "partial 16S ribosomal RNA". It matches the Rfam family "Bacterial small subunit ribosomal RNA", at positions 30 to 507 of the family's 1533-position model. The record is from RNAcentral.
UGAACGCUGGCGGCAUGCUUUACACAUGCAAGUCGAACGGUAACAGGCCGCAAGUUGCUGACGAGUGGCGAACGGGUGAGUAAUGCAUCGGAACGUGCCCAGUCGUGGUGGAUAACUACUCGAAAGAGUAGCUAAUACCGCAUACGAUCUAUGGAUGAAAGCGGGGGACCGUAAGGCCUCGCGCGAUUGGAGCGGCCGAUGUCAGAUUAGGUAGUUGGUGGGGUAAAGGCUCACCAAGCCAACGAUCUGUAGCUGGUCUGAGAGGACGACCAGCCACACUGGGACUGAGACACGGCCCAGACUCCUACGGGAGGCAGCAGUGGGGAAUUUUGGACAAUGGGCGCAAGCCUGAUCCAGCAAUGCCGCGUGCAGGAAGAAGGCCUUCGGGUUGUAAACUGCUUUUGUACGGAACGAAACGGCUCUGGUUAAUACCCGGGGCUAAUGACGGUACCGUAAGAAUAAGCACCGGCUAACUACGUG